RNAcentral lists this transfer RNA (50 nucleotides) under Urochloa comata. RNAcentral describes it as "partial tRNA-Leu". The record is from RNAcentral. Lineage: Eukaryota; Viridiplantae; Streptophyta; Magnoliopsida; Poales; Poaceae. RNAcentral also lists the same sequence under 1 other name.
AAAAUCCGUCGACUUUAUAAGUCGUGAUGGUUCAAGUCCCUCUAUCCCCA